Molecule: small RNA, 126 nt
Filed under: Chimaeribacter arupi
Lineage: Bacteria; Pseudomonadati; Pseudomonadota; Gammaproteobacteria; Enterobacterales; Yersiniaceae
Description: Yersiniaceae bacterium 2016Iso3 RtT sRNA
Rfam family: RtT RNA
About the family: This family represents a bacterial cis-regulatory element known as RtT RNA. The exact function of RtT is unknown although it is thought that it may be involved in changing the cellular response in relation to amino acid starvation.
Source: RNAcentral
GAGUUGCCCAUACGGGGAAGGACGAGAACCUUCGACAAGGUUCGGCGAGCGAACGCGAGCAACGUUGCGCAGCAACGGCCCGAAGGGUGAGGAACGAAGUGACGAAUCAUCCUUCCCCCACCACCC